UCGAGAAUCUUCGGCAAUGGGCGCAAGCCUGACCGAGCGACGCCGCGUGCGGGAUGAAGGCCUUCGGGUUGUAAACCGCUGUCAGUGGGGAGGAAAUCUGGAAGGGUUCUCUCUUUCAGUUGACCUAUCCGCAGAGGAAGCAUGGGCUAAGUUCGUGCCAGCAGCCGCGGUAAGACGAACCAUGCAAACGUUAUUCGGAAUGACUGGGCUUAAAGCGUGCGUAGGCGGUUCCGAAAGUUGGGUGUGAAAGCCCCCGGCUCAACCGGGGAAUUGCGCCCAAAACUACGGAACUCGAGGGAGAUAGAGGUGGGCGGAACUUCGGGUGGAGCGGUGAAAUGCGUUGAUAUCCGAAGGAACACCAGAGGCGAAAGCGGCCCACUGGAUCUUUUCUGACGCUGAGGCACGAAAGCUAGGGGAGCGAACGG
This 425-nucleotide ribosomal RNA is filed under the name uncultured bacterium. Its description in RNAcentral is "bacterial SSU rRNA". It matches the Rfam family "Bacterial small subunit ribosomal RNA", at positions 355 to 775 of the family's 1533-position model. The record is from RNAcentral.